Molecule: small nuclear RNA, 22 nt
Filed under: Arabidopsis thaliana (thale cress)
Lineage: Eukaryota; Viridiplantae; Streptophyta; Magnoliopsida; Brassicales; Brassicaceae
Description: snRNA_16524
Source: RNAcentral
CAUUAUUAAGUUUUCCCAGGGU